GGAGAGGUGACUGAGUGGCUAAAGGUGACAGACUGUAAAUCUGUUGGUUAAUUCCUACAUAGGUUCGAAUCCUAUUCUCUCCA
This 83-nucleotide transfer RNA is filed under the name Vischeria stellata. RNAcentral's name for it is "tRNA-Tyr". It matches the Rfam family "tRNA". From Rfam's summary of the family: Transfer RNA (tRNA) molecules are approximately 80 nucleotides in length. Lineage: Eukaryota; Eustigmatophyceae; Eustigmatales; Chlorobotryaceae. The record is from RNAcentral.